RNAcentral lists this ribosomal RNA (484 nucleotides) under uncultured bacterium. RNAcentral's name for it is "partial 16S ribosomal RNA". It matches the Rfam family "Bacterial small subunit ribosomal RNA", at positions 30 to 507 of the family's 1533-position model. The record is from RNAcentral.
AUUGAACGCUGGCGGCAGGCCUAACACAUGCAAGUCCAGCGGAUGAAGGGAGCUUGCUCCUGGAUUCAGCGGCGGACGGGUGAGUAAUGCCUAGGAAUCUGCCUGGUAGUGGGGGAUAACGUCCGGAAACGGGCGCUAAUACCGCAUACGUCCUGAGGGAGAAAGUGGGGGAUCUUCGGACCUCACGCUAUCAGAUGAGCCUAGGUCGGAUUAGCUAGUUGGUGGGGUAAAGGCCUACCAAGGCGACGAUCCGUAACUGGUCUGAGAGGAUGAUCAGUCACACUGGAACUGAGACACGGUCCAGACUCCUACGGGAGGCAGCAGUGGGGAAUAUUGGACAAUGGGCGAAAGCCUGAUCCAGCCAUGCCGCGUGUGUGAAGAAGGUCUUCGGAUUGUAAAGCACUUUAAGUUGGGAGGAAGGGCAGUAAGUUAAUACCUUGCUGUUUUGACGUUACCAACAGAAUAAGCACCGGCUAACUUCGUG